UACGUAGGCAGCGAGCGUUGUUCGGAGUUACUGGGCGUAAAGAGUGCGUAGGCGGUUUUCUAAGUUUGGUGUGAAAUCUCCCGGCUCAACUGGGAGGGUGCGCCGAAGACUGGAAGACUAGAGUGUGGGAGAGGUAAGCGGAAUUCCUGGUGUAGCGGUGAAAUGCGCAGAUAUCAGGAAGAACACCCGUGGCGAAGGCGGCUCUCUGGGACGGUACUGACGCUGAGACGCGAAAGCGUGGGGAGCGAACAGG
Molecule: ribosomal RNA, 253 nt
Filed under: uncultured bacterium
Lineage: Bacteria
Description: partial 16S ribosomal RNA
Rfam family: Bacterial small subunit ribosomal RNA
Source: RNAcentral